UUUGACAGAAUUCUUCGGAAGGAAGUUGAUUAAGUUUAGUGGCGGACGGGUGAGUAACGCGUGAGUAACCUGCCUUUGAGAGGGGAAUAACUUCCCGAAAGGGAUGCUAAUACCGCAUGAAGCAUAUUUAUCGCAUGGUAGAUAUGCCAAAGAUUUAUCGCUCAAAGGUGGACUCGCGUCCGAUUAGCCAGUUGGCGGGGUAACGGCCCACCAAAGCGACGAUCGGUAGCCGGACUGAGAGGUUGAACGGCCACAUUGGGACUGAGACACGGCCCAGACUCC
This 282-nucleotide ribosomal RNA is filed under the name uncultured bacterium. RNAcentral describes it as "partial 16S ribosomal RNA". It matches the Rfam family "Bacterial small subunit ribosomal RNA", at positions 62 to 339 of the family's 1533-position model. The record is from RNAcentral.